CCUACGGGAGGCUGCAGUGAGGAAUAUUGGUCAAUGGUCGGGAGACUGAACCAGCCAAGCCGCGUGAGGGAUGAAGGUACAGAGUAUCGUAAACCUCUUUUGUCAGGGAACAAAGGCGGGGACGUGUCCCCGGAUGAGUGUACCUGAAGAAAAAGCAUCGGCUAACUCCGUGCCAGCAGCCGCGGUAAUCCGGAGGAUGCGAGCGUUAUCCGGAUUGAUUGGGUUAAAAGGGUGCGCAGGCGGUCUGUUAAGUCAGCGGUCAAAGCCCGGGGCUCAACCCCGGCCCGCCGUUGAAACUGGCAGUCUCGAGUUGGAGAGAAGUAUGCGGAAUGCGCGGUGUAGCGGUGAAAUGCAUAGAUAUCGCGCAGAACUCCGAUUGCGAAGGCAGCAUGCCGGCUCCACACUGACGCUGAGGCACGAAAGCGUGGGUAUCGAACAGGAUUAGAUACCCGGGUAGUC
RNAcentral lists this ribosomal RNA (459 nucleotides) under uncultured bacterium. RNAcentral describes it as "partial 16S ribosomal RNA". It matches the Rfam family "Bacterial small subunit ribosomal RNA", at positions 338 to 795 of the family's 1533-position model. The record is from RNAcentral.